RNAcentral lists this ribosomal RNA (503 nucleotides) under uncultured bacterium. RNAcentral describes it as "bacterial SSU rRNA". It matches the Rfam family "Bacterial small subunit ribosomal RNA", at positions 8 to 486 of the family's 1533-position model. The record is from RNAcentral.
AGAGUUUGAUCAUGGCUCAGAACGAACGUUGGCGGCGUGCUUAACACAUGCAAGUCGAACGAGAAAGUUUUCUUCGGAGAACGAGUACAGUGGCGCACGGGUGAGUAACGCGUAAGUAAUCUACCUUGGCAUCUGGAAUAACUACGGGAAGCUGUAGCUAAUACCGGAUACGUUUAUAUAGUUACGACUCUAUACAGAAAGAUGACCUCUUCUUGAAAGUUAUCGUGCUAAGAGGAGCUUGCGUACCAUUAGCUAGUUGGUAGGGUAAAGGCCUACCAAGGCGACGAUGGUUAGCGGGUCUGAGAGGAUGAUCCGCCACACUGGAACUGGAACACGGACCAGACUCCUACGGGAGGCAGCAGUGAGGAAUAUUGCGCAAUGGGGGAAACCCUGACGCAGCGACGCCGCGUGGAUGAUGAAGGCCUUCGGGUCGUAAAAUCCUGUCAGAUGGGAAGAAAUGUAUGUAAGAAUAAUACCCUAUGUGCUUGACGGUCCCAUCAAAG